UCUAGAACUCAAGAUAUGGGCUGAACACUGAACAGUGUUUAGGCUGCAAGACAGAUUCAAACUUCUUCGUUGUUGAUAUAAUUUGCACUUGAAAACGGCUUUUUUAAAUCUUGGGCUCCACAUGAAAGUUGUAGGCCCAUUUCUUACCUUUCCAUC
Molecule: non-coding RNA, 156 nt
Organism: Populus trichocarpa (black cottonwood)
Lineage: Eukaryota; Viridiplantae; Streptophyta; Magnoliopsida; Malpighiales; Salicaceae
Source: Rfam